AGCGUUAUCCGGAUUUAUUGGGUUUAAAGGGUGCGUAGGCGGGUUAUUAAGUCAGUGGUGAAAGCCUUCAGCUUAACUGAAGAAUUGCCAUUGAUACUGAUGAUCUUGAGUAUGAUUGAGGUGGGCGGAAUGUGUCAUGUAGCGGUGAAAUGCUUAGAUAUGACACAGAACACCGAUUGCGAAGGCAGCUCACUAAGUCAUAACUGACGCUGAUGCACGAAAGCGUGGGGAGCAAACAGG
Molecule: ribosomal RNA, 240 nt
Filed under: uncultured bacterium
Lineage: Bacteria
Description: partial 16S ribosomal RNA
Rfam family: Bacterial small subunit ribosomal RNA
Source: RNAcentral